This 501-nucleotide ribosomal RNA is filed under the name uncultured bacterium. RNAcentral describes it as "partial 16S ribosomal RNA". It matches the Rfam family "Bacterial small subunit ribosomal RNA", at positions 30 to 523 of the family's 1533-position model. The record is from RNAcentral.
AUUGAACGCUGGCGGCAUGCCUUACACAUGCAAGUCGAACGGCAGCACGGGUGCUUGCACCUGGUGGCGAGUGGCGAACGGGUGAGUAAUACAUCGGAACGUACCUUAUCGUGGGGGAUAACGCAGCGAAAGCUGUGCUAAUACCGCAUACGCCCUGAGGGGGAAAGCGGGGGAUCGCAAGACCUCGCGCGAUUAGAGCGGCCGAUGCCUGAUUAGCUUGUUGGUGGGGUAAAAGCCCACCAAGGCGACGAUCAGUAGCUGGUCUGAGAGGACGAUCAGCCACACUGGGACUGAGACACGGCCCAGACUCCUACGGGAGGUGGCAGUGGGGAAUUUUGGACAAUGGGGGCAACCCUGAUCCAGCAAUGCCGCGUGAGUGAAGAAGGCCUUCGGGUUGUAAAGCUCUUUUGUCAGGGAAGAAACACCGGCUCUAACACAGUCUGGGAAUGACGGUACCUGAAGAAUAAGCACCGGCUAACUACGUGCCAGCAGCCGCGGUAA